Molecule: long non-coding RNA, 1430 nt
Filed under: Heterocephalus glaber (naked mole-rat)
Lineage: Eukaryota; Metazoa; Chordata; Mammalia; Rodentia; Bathyergidae
Description: lncRNA (ENSHGLG00000040659.1)
Source: RNAcentral
AUUUGCUCUUGGCCAAAGAACUAGAUGUGGCUUAAUUUUUGACAAGUCCUCAAGAGCACAGCAAUAGUGCUCAGAAUUUGUGUAUGAAAAAGCACUACUUAACCAUAAGGAUGAAAAGUGUGUCUCAAAAAAAAAAGUGUAUGUCUCCUUGGUUGUAAACUAUACCUUAAGAAGGGUGGUUCGGAAGAAUCCAUAAUACAGAAUUGACCAGACUGGACAGGUUGUAGUACUGAUUCCUGGAAAAUAGGAUUAUAUUUCUUUUUUACAAAUUUUUUUUUUGGUACUGGGGAUCAAACUCAGGACCUUUUGCUUGUGAGGCAGGCAUGGUGCCACUAAGCUAAAUCCCUGGCCCUUUUUUUUUGUUUUUUUUUUGAGACGGGCUCACUAUGUAGUUCAGGCUGGCCUUGAAAUCACCAUGAUCCUCCUGCCUUAGCCUCCCAAAUGCUGGGAUUACAGAUGUGCGCCAUUACAACUGGCUGUCAUUAUCUUUCUUACAGUUAUUUUUCAAAAAAAUCUCUGAAAGUUCUUUGAGUAAUGCCAUAGUUAAUUAAGUUUGACUCAACUCGUGUAGUUUUCUAAGAUGUCAUUUUUUUUUUUUCUUUUUGGUUUUUUGAGACAGUCUUUCUAGGUAGUCCAGGUUGGCCUUGAACUUACUAUGUAUCCCAGGAGGAUCUCAAAUUCCAGGUCAGCCUGGGCAACAUAGGUCUCAACAAACGAAAAUACACAGACACACUUUCAGUGUGUGAAUGGAAGUGUCUCAGUUUGGAAAUAUUUUCGUGAGAGUUUGAAGUGACUUGUGAUAAAAAUCUAUUUGUCCAUUGUAGUUGGAAAUCAUGAGUUUAGUAAGCUGAUCAAUCUGCCAGUCAGUGCAUCCUCUAAUGGUGGAGGGUUUAUAGAACUUUGUUUUCUUUGGUAUUUUUUAAGAAAGAAGAAACUCAAGAUUUUUUUCUGAAUUCUAGGUAAGUUAAGAUGUGGUUACUGCCUUUAGGAGCUUCCAUUGUGGGGCUUGGCAUGGGUUGGCAAAUUGGCCUUGAGUGCAUGCUGCAAAUGUGUACAUGGAAGAGAUGGUAAAGAGGGUAGGUGUUGGGCCGGGAUUUAGCUCAGUGGUUUCACCGCCUGCUGUGCAAGCGCAAGGACCCGAGUUCGAUCCCCGAUACCAAAAAAAAAAAAAGAUUACUUUGACAAUGGAGAGGGGAGAAAGCAGAGGCAGGUAAACAACCAGUGCUGGGGAAGUGACAGGGACUUGGAUCAAGUCUGGAGAUAGCAAAGGCAGGAUAGUUUUGACAGGCUGUAGGUGGAAGAUUAGCAAGACAGUGCCUUUGGUGGUGAGGACAGUGCUUGAUAUCUGAACAGAACUUGAGACCCGCAGUGAUAGGAAUGAUAGGCUCAUUUCUGAUGUGAUGGAUGAAUUUGAGGUAGCUGACUUCUGG